This 130-nucleotide ribosomal RNA is filed under the name Xeromphalina sp. RNAcentral describes it as "partial large subunit ribosomal RNA". It matches the Rfam family "Eukaryotic large subunit ribosomal RNA", at positions 99 to 226 of the family's 3401-position model. Lineage: Eukaryota; Fungi; Basidiomycota; Agaricomycetes; Agaricales; Mycenaceae. The record is from RNAcentral.
CGGGAAAAGCUCAAAUUUAAAAUCUGGCGGUCUCUGGCCGUCCGAGUUGUAAGUUAGAGAAGUGUUACCCGCGCUGGACCGUGUACAAGUCUCCUGGAACGGAGCGUCAUAGAGGGUGAGAGUCCCGUCU